RNAcentral lists this ribosomal RNA (511 nucleotides) under uncultured bacterium. RNAcentral describes it as "bacterial SSU rRNA". It matches the Rfam family "Bacterial small subunit ribosomal RNA", at positions 383 to 905 of the family's 1533-position model. The record is from RNAcentral.
CUGAUGCAGCGACGCCGCGUGGGGGAUGACGGUCUUCGGAUUGUAAACUCCUUUCAGUAGGGACGAAGCGAGAGUGACGGUACCUGCAGAAGAAGCACCGGCCAACUACGUGCCAGCAGCCGCGGUAAUACGUAGGGUGCAAGCGUUGUCCGGAAUUACUGGGCGUAAAGAGCUCGUAGGCGGUUUGUCACGUCGUCUGUGAAAUCCUCCAGCUCAACUGGGGGCGUGCAGGCGAUACGGGCAGACUUGAGUACUACAGGGGAGACUGGAAUUCCUGGUGUAGCGGUGAAAUGCGCAGAUAUCAGGAGGAACACCGGUGGCGAAGGCGGGUCUCUGGGUAGUAACUGACGCUGAGGAGCGAAAGCAUGGGGAGCGAACAGGAUUAGAUACCCUGGUAGUCCAUGCCGUAAACGGUGGGCGCUAGGUGUGGGGUCCUUCCACGGAUUCCGUGCCGUAGCUAACGCAUUAAGCGCCCCGCCUGGGGAGUACGGCCGCAAGGCUAAAACUCAAA